CACGUAGGGUGCGAGCGUUAAUCGGAAUUACUGGGCGUAAAGCGUGCGCAGGCGGUUCGUUAAGUCAGCUGUGAAAGCCCCGGGCUUAACCUGGGAAUGGCGGUUGAAACUGGCGAACUUGAAUCUGGCAGAGGGGGGUGGAAUUCCACGUGUAGCAGUGAAAUGCGUAGAUAUGUGGAGGAACACCGAUGGCGAAGGCAGCCCCCUGGGUCAAGACUGACGCUCAUGCACGAAAGCGUGGGGAGCAAACAGG
Molecule: ribosomal RNA, 253 nt
Filed under: uncultured bacterium
Lineage: Bacteria
Description: partial 16S ribosomal RNA
Rfam family: Bacterial small subunit ribosomal RNA
Source: RNAcentral